RNAcentral lists this ribosomal RNA (253 nucleotides) under uncultured bacterium. RNAcentral describes it as "partial 16S ribosomal RNA". It matches the Rfam family "Bacterial small subunit ribosomal RNA", at positions 524 to 776 of the family's 1533-position model. The record is from RNAcentral.
UACGUGGGUGGCAAGCGUUGUCCGGAUUUACUGGGCGUAAAGAGCGCGCAGGCGGUCGUUCAAGUCGGGUGUGAAAGCCCCCGGCUCAACUGGGGAGGGUCACGCGAUACUGGUCGACUCGAAGGCAGGAGAGGGAAGUGGAAUUCCCGGUGUAGUGGUGAAAUGCGCAGAUAUCAGGAAGAACACCCGUGGCGAAGGCGGUUCUCUGGGACGGUACUGACGCUGAGACGCGAAAGCGUGGGGAGCGAACAGG